Syzygium oleosum is the source of this 605-nucleotide long non-coding RNA. RefSeq lists it as uncharacterized. The transcript is spliced from 2 exons. NCBI's taxonomy places the organism in Eukaryota, Viridiplantae, Streptophyta, Magnoliopsida, Myrtales, Myrtaceae. The record is from RefSeq and is a predicted model, not a curated record.
CACGCAAAGCUCCAUCGACAACGUGCGGUUCCACAUCGCGCCGAAUGGGUACCUCGCGAUUGUCCCGACCCCAUCAAACCUUCGGGUGGAAGCUAUUAUAGUGGCAAAUGAAGCGGCGCGCACGUUCAAAACAGGUGCAGCUCUAUUUAUUGAUCGAAUCAGGGUACGCCUACGUACUGCGAGUAAUAGGAAUCUAUAUGCCUCCUUCAGCGGAAUACAUCGGUUUUGGUUCUCCCUGGCAUGAGGUAUAAGGAAGCUUCCUUAGCUAUUGAUCCAAUGUGGCCAAAUGGAUGAUGCACGGUGACUGUUCGAUGAUAUGCCUCAGUGGAAUAGCUUCACUCGGAACACACAUAGACUGAAGGACCGGAGUGUGAGGAGUAACUCAAUUAGUGGAGCCAAUUCAUGUGCUUGUAACGCCAAGACUAAACGGCCGUGUCCUCAGGAUCCCACGUGUUAAAGCAACAGGACCAUCUUGAUGAUCAAGCCAUCGGGAAGCUGAAAAUACUUGACGAUUGGUUUUACCACUGAAGAUUGUAAGAUCACUGGAGAUCACUACAUAUUGUCGGAGUGUCAAGUGUUUUCAGUUUUGGACAUUCGUCCAUGCA